AGCAAAGAGCCUUGUAUGUAUGUAGUAGAUGCUUAUUUAAUGCUUGUUGAAUAAUUGAAAGGCCAAUCAGGGAAGUAAGAAGGAAUUUGGAAAGAUUCUUGAUAACCUGGUUGUAGCUUCCAGCAGUCUCUAGAGAACUCUAGAACUUUUUUAUUCAAGUCACCUCAUGAAGUGACCUAGUUGUGGUCAGUUAGCAGAGUAUCCUUAACAAGAGUCCUUCUUGGACUAUUUGGCCAUCCUUUUCUACCCUCUGGAAUUAAGACCACAAGUUAUAAAGCAAAACCCAUAAGAGCAUGUGAAUACUUACAUUUUUGUUCUGUGUAACACGCUUAAUUUAUUUCUGGAUGGCAACAGGGGGAAGCGAGUAGCGUUAUCUGAUGAUGAGACAAAGGAAACUGAAAACAUGAAGAAAAAGAGGAGAAGAAUCAAACUUCCUGAAUCUGAUAGCAGUGAAGAUGAAGUCUUCCCAGACUCUCCUGGGGCUUAUGAAGCUGAGUCACCAUCCCCACCUCCUCCUCCGUCUCCACCUCUUGAACCAGUGCCAAAGACUGAGCCUGAACCUCCUUCUGCCAAGAGCUCAAGUGGAGAAAACAAAAGAAAACGAAAACGCGUGCUAAAAUCUAAAACUUAUGUGGAUGGGGAAGGCUGCAUAGUGACUGAAAAAGUCUACGAGAGUGAAUCCUGCACAGAUAGUGAAGAGGAGCUUAAGAUGAAGACAUCCUCAGUACACAGACCCCCUGCCAUGACUGUGAAAAAAGAACCCAAAGAGGAACGAAAGGGCCCCAAGAAAGGGACUGCUGCUCUGGGCAAAGCCAACAGACAGGUGUCCAUUACUGGCUUCUUCCAGAGGAAAUAAACUGCCAUCUCUGGUAGAUCAGAGACUUGGAGUGGUCAAGGGAGAAGACCAAGAAAUGUACUCCUCACUUACUAUGUAAGUUCAUCUAGAUCUCCACCUCACCUGUAUCAAAAGACUGUUCUUUCAUCCUGUGAGGUUUAUACUAUUUCUGGUUUUUAACCAAAAGGAAAUCAUCUGGAAGCAGGAGGCAAAAAGCUGU
RNAcentral lists this small RNA (1055 nucleotides) under Pongo abelii (Sumatran orangutan). Its description in RNAcentral is "retained intron". Lineage: Eukaryota; Metazoa; Chordata; Mammalia; Primates; Hominidae. The record is from RNAcentral.